Molecule: ribosomal RNA, 549 nt
Filed under: uncultured Glomus
Lineage: Eukaryota; Fungi; Glomeromycota; Glomeromycetes; Glomerales; Glomeraceae
Description: SSU rRNA
Rfam family: Eukaryotic small subunit ribosomal RNA
Source: RNAcentral
UUGGAGGGCAAGUCUGGUGCCAGCAGCCGCGGUAAUUCCAGCUCCAAUAGCGUAUAUUAAAGUUGCUGCAGUUAAAAAGCUCGUAGUUGAAUUUCGGGAUCGACGGGUCGGUCGCGCCUCUGGUGUGUACUGGCCCUGUCGGUUUCUCCCUUCUGACGAACCACGAUGUCAUUAAUUUGGUGUCGUGGAGAAUCAGGACUGUUACUUUGAAAAAAUUAGAGUGUUUAAAGCAAGCAUUCGCUUGAAUACAUUAGCAUGGAAUAAUGAAAUAGGACGUUUGAUCUUAUUUUGUUGGUUUCUAAGAUCGACGUAAUGAUUAAUAGGGAUAGUUGGGGGCAUUAGUAUUCAAUUGUCAGAGGUGAAAUUCUUGGAUUUAUUGAAGACUAACUACUGCGAAAGCAUUUGCCAAGGAUGUUUUCAUUAAUCAAGAACGAAAGUUAGGGGAUCGAAGACGAUCAGAUACCGUCGUAGUCUUAACCAUAAACUAUGCCGACUAGGGAUCGGAUGAUGUUAAUUUUUUAAUGACUCAUUCGGCGCCUUACGGGAAAC